AGUGAACGCUGGCGGUAGGCCUAACACAUGCAAGUCGAACGGCAGCACAGGAGAGCUUGCUCUCUGGGUGGCGAGUGGCGGACGGGUGAGGAAUACAUCGGAAUCUACUUUUUCGUGGGGGAUAACGUAGGGAAACUUACGCUAAUACCGCAUACGACCUACGGGUGAAAGCAGGGGACCUUCGGGCCUUGCGCGAUUGAAUGAGCCGAUGUCGGAUUAGCUAGUUGGCGGGGUAAAGGCCCACCAAGGCGACGAUCCGUAGCUGGUCUGUGAGGAUGAUCCGCCACACUGGAACUGGGACAAGGUCCAGACGCCUACUGGAGGCAGCAGUGGGGAAUAUUGGACAAUAGGCGCAAGCCUGAUCCAGCCAUACCGCGUGGGUGAAGAAGGCCUUCGGGUUGUAAAGCCCUUUUUUUGGUACAGAAAUCCAGCUGGCUAAUACCCGGUUGGGAUGACGGUACCCAAAGAAUAAGCACCGGCUAACUUCGUGCCAGCAGCCGCCGCUG
RNAcentral lists this ribosomal RNA (506 nucleotides) under uncultured bacterium. Its description in RNAcentral is "partial 16S ribosomal RNA". It matches the Rfam family "Bacterial small subunit ribosomal RNA", at positions 29 to 523 of the family's 1533-position model. The record is from RNAcentral.